AUGGGCUUUUCACCGCAUGCGAAGCAUUUCCUAGGCAUUGUUAUCUUGUUGCUUGCAUGCACCAUCGUCCACAACGCGACAGAGCUGAGUCUUCCCAUGCCGCUCCUGCGCUGGUUUCACGAUUUCCCAUACACCCACCACCUCCUCCUGAUGGGUCUUCUUCCCGCCACCGUGGCCGCCAUAUUCCUGACCAUGAAGUUGCGUCCCUGUACCGCAUACCUCAUCGACUAUGCUUGCUUUAAGGGUAGUACCAACUGCCGCGUCCCGAUUUCCACCUUCAUCGAGCAUAUGCACCUGACACCGUUCUUGGACGGUCGCAGCAUCAAGUUCAUGACGCGUUUGCUGGAACGCAGUGGCAUCGGCAACGAGUCGAACCUGCCCCCCACUAUCCACUACAUCCCCGUGUACCGAAGCUUGAUGGAAGCCCGUGCUGAAGCAGAGCUGGUCGUCUUCUCUGCCAUUGACGACCUGUUCGCGAAGACUGGCGCCGCCCCUGACGCCGUGAGCAUACUCGUCGUCAACUGCAGCGUAUUCGCCCCAGUGCCGUCCAUCAGCGACAUGAUCGUGAGCAGAUACAAGCUCCACCAUGACAUCCGCUGCCUAAACCUAUCAGGCAUGGGGUGUAGCGCGGGUGUGACGGCGGUGGGCCUCGCGACCAGGCUACUGCAGGCGACGCGGCGGCAACAUGGUGCGCAGUUCGCUAUGGUCGUCUCCACGGAAACGCUCACCUCCAACUUCUACGAGGGCAAGGAGCGGCCCAUGCAGCUGUCCAACAUGCUAUUCCGCGUGGGCGGCGCUGCCGCGCUCCUGUCCACGUCCAAGGAAAAGGCGCGGUUCCGUCUCAGGCACUUCGUGCGAACCAUCACGGGUGCCGCAAGUGAUGCCGCCUACAAGUGUAUCUUCCAGGAGGAGGAUGCCGAGGGACACUUAGGGAUGAACCUGUCCAAGGACCUCCCGGCCGUCGCGGCCGACGCUCUAAAGGCCAACAUCACUGCCAUCGGCCCCCUCAUCCUGCCACUCGCCGAGCAGCUGCUCUUUGCAUUACAUGCAGCAGCGUCUUUCGUAUGGAGCAAGCUGCCCAUCGACACCAAGCGGGUCUUCAGUCCGUACGUCCCGGAUUUCCGCAAGGCUUUCGAUCACUUCUGCAUCCACACAGGGGGCCCUACGGCGAUCGAUGGUGUACAGCGCAUCCUCGAGCUAUCGGACGAACACGUGGAGCCAGCGCGCAUGACCCUUUACAGGUUUGGGAACACAUCAAGCAGCUCAGUGUGGUACGAGCUGGCGUACGUCGAGGCCAAGGGCCGGAUGUCCAAGGCUGAUCGUGUUUGGAUGAUUGGGUUUGGGUCCGGGUUUGAGUGCGUUAGCGCUGUCUGGGAGUGCAUUCGGCCGGCGGACGACCCGGACAAAGCAUGGGCUGAGUGCAUACAUCGAUACCCGGCCGGUGAGCAUUCCCGUGCGCCGGAGAUCAUCGAAUGCUAG
This 1479-nucleotide ribosomal RNA is filed under the name Triticum aestivum (bread wheat). RNAcentral describes it as "partial small subunit ribosomal RNA". Lineage: Eukaryota; Viridiplantae; Streptophyta; Magnoliopsida; Poales; Poaceae. The record is from RNAcentral.